This 369-nucleotide ribosomal RNA is filed under the name uncultured organism. Its description in RNAcentral is "bacterial SSU rRNA". It matches the Rfam family "Bacterial small subunit ribosomal RNA", at positions 527 to 896 of the family's 1533-position model. The record is from RNAcentral.
CGAAGGGGCUAGCGUUGUUCGGAAUGACUGGGCGUAAAGGGCGCGUAGGCGGCCGAGUAAGUCAGGCGUGAAAGCCCCGGGCUCAACCUGGGAACGGCGCUUGAUACUGUUUGGCUUGAGGACGGGAGAGGAUGGUGGAAUUCCCAGUGUAGAGGUGAAAUUCGUAGAUAUUGGGAAGAACACCGGUGGCGAAGGCGGCCAUCUGGACCGUUUCUGACGCUGAGGCGCGAAAGCGUGGGGAGCAAACAGGAUUAGAUACCCUGGUAGUCCACGCUGUAAACGAUGUGUGCUAGACGUUGGGGGGUUAGGCCUCCGGUGUCGCAGCCAACGCGUUAAGCACACCGCCUGGGGAGUACGGCCGCAAGGUUA